RNAcentral lists this long non-coding RNA (10552 nucleotides) under Solanum melongena (eggplant). RNAcentral's name for it is "long non-coding RNA (SMEL_LNC000068)". The stretch from base 7338 to 7409 matches the Rfam family "tRNA". Lineage: Eukaryota; Viridiplantae; Streptophyta; Magnoliopsida; Solanales; Solanaceae. The record is from RNAcentral.
UAAAUAAAUCUAUGAGUGUAUAAAUGGUAGAGUUGUCAUGAAUCAUUAUUCCAUACCAGAAAAAUUUGAGACAGCAAAAAACUUCCACUGGAAGUGAACAUAUUUCUUAAGUGACAACUAAUACAAGGGUAAUAUUCUUGAUUUAAUGUUUUGUUUGAUAAGUUGAUUACAGAUUCAGUAUUAGAAUUGGUUGGCUCUUUUUAACAUUAUACCUUUUUUUUUCUUUUUAAUGACAAGGGAAACCCGCAACCGCUACCUUUUGGGUGCGCACAAGGUAAAACCCCUGCUCCAAUGCAAUAGCUCGCAAAUCACAUAGGAGAGGUAACUGCACUAGGCAAGCCUUGUGCCCCUUGCUUUCGCUGGCAAGGGGUUUCGAACUUGAGACCUCCAACAUAAACUACUGAGCCACCCCGAAGGAUACCAUUAUACCUUUUUUUUUAACCUAAAAAAAAAGGUAUAACCAUUACCUUUUUUUUAACCUAAAAAAAAAGGUAUAACCAUUAUACCUUUUUUUUAACCUUAAAAAAAAAGGUAUAACCAUUAUCCUUUUUUUUUUAUGACUGUGGUGUCCAUUAUUAUAUUUUGAUCUUUUUCAGUCUUUUUUGUGGAUAAUGAUGAUGUCCGAACCAGCUUAAGCACAUCUCAACUAUUCUACAGGUGCCCACCAGCACAGGUACCAAGUAACUGUGCUGGAAUUUGAACCCUUCUUUCAAAGGUUUGCACCCACUUCAUUUGACGUUGGCCACAUUCUUAGGUGUUGCAGUAUGCUAUAUUUUGUUUCCUCGAAGCCUCCUCAAUUGUUUUUGUGUGUGUUUUUCCCUUACUUGGGUCGUUAAUCAUGUUUGGAUCAUGCUUGACUAAUGAAUAAACUUCUAACACUUCGGCUGUUCGGCAUAUGUAUGUAAUUACAGCCAACCGCCAACCGAAAUAUCAAUAAAUCCAAUUUUUCCUAGUACUUUUCAUUUGGAUACUUUGGGGCAAAACUUGGCUUGGCAUGUCAAUUGCUUCAACCUUUUGUUGAGGUCUCAGUAGUACAAGGGUGUGACCUAGCAGUCAAAUGAAGUGGGAAGAAAACCAUGAGGAGGUUCAAAUCAGAGACAAAAGCAUCACCAGAUGAUUUCUGCCUAAUCUUUGGCAAGAAAAUUUAUCCAAUAUUGAUAGGAGUCUGCAGGUAUCCGGUGGAAUAGUUGAGGUGUGUACAAGCUCGCUCGGACAAUCUUCAUCCCAAAAAAGAACCAAUAAAUCUUAGUACCAAAAAGUUAUACUACAGAAAUAUAUGCAAAACAUAUCCUAAAAUUACUUCAUGCAAGUUGUGGAAGCUAAGACACUAGAGCUCUCACAUGUCCCAUUCGUCAUUCCAACCUUCUUUUUUGAUGUCAAAGACCAACUCUCUUUCUUAGUUCUAUCAAAUAUUCUUAGCUUCACCUCUUGGUCCAUGGAAGAUUACGACUCCAAAGGUCACUCGCCGUCUCAUGUUGGGUGUCCAUAAACUUGCAGAGGCCAAAGUUAGAAGUGUUGCAGCCUUUGGUGGUGGUUUUUCCUUAUUGCUGCAUCUCUAGAACCUGCUUUGUUUCAAGCUGUCUACUAGUGUUAAAAUUUACUUUAGCAUCUACUGAUCUAUUCCUGUGGACAUAGUUGCAGACAGAAUGCUUCAUGUUGAACAAAGAACUAAGUUUGUCUACUCGGUAAACUAAACGAGAUCAGUCCCAGCCAGUUACCAAAUCAUUGUCCAUCGGUCCAUCCUUUCCACUCCUAGUUGUUCUUCCAUUUUAUAGCUAACUAUACUAUCUUUAUAAGCAGUUCACACAGCCAAUAAUGUUGGGUAUAACUUUUUAAUGCACAUGUACGCCUUAAUAUUUUUUUCACUGGACAUCAAAAGAAUAAUUGAUACCGACCUCAAAGAACACAAAUGACACCAACCUCAAUGAACGUACGCCAUCAGAGAUGCAUACAGUGAAUCUAGAAAAGUCAUGCACAUCAUAGUUCAUUUGAAUCGAACGACAUUGUUCUUGUCAUUACACUUUUCAGUUAAAAGCCAUGAAGAUACAAGCUUGCGCAGAGGAAAAGGAACAAGAGUGAUUCGUAAUUAAGUAAUGAAAAGAGGUGAAAUAAAAUUUAAUGUCAAAAUCAGAUUGUCAUUAAAACAGAUCUCAUCCUACCUUAACAACACGUAGAUCAAUUGGAUUUCGACACGAGAACCGCUGUGUUUUUAAUUCCUCGGUAACUUAACAACUUAUCUCAUAUUACCUUCCUAAUUAGAUAAAAGUUCCAACAUUAGUUGGACUGUUGGGUAGUAGGGAAUCUGAAGAUAAGAGUAAAUUGUGUGUUUAUAGGUUACUGUUUCCAAUGCUUGAACUUUGAUAAUGGUGAGUCUAUCAAAUUUGAGGAAGAUGGAAAACAAGGGCAGUGGUAUGUGGAUGCGUUAAUGAGUUCAAAUUCUGAUAUUACAGCUGCCUACUCUUUGAAAUUUGGGGUUCUGAUAGUAAACAGAAAUGAUAUAGCAGUAGUUGUGGUCUUGGUGUGAUUACUGUGAUAAGAAGGAAUGAAGAGAAAGAAAACAAACCUUAAAAAAAAUAUCUUAAAGGUUAAGUUGAAUUAAAUAUAUAAUCUCCAAUUGGAAACUGACAGAUGAACUAUUUAAUUCAAUUUUAGCAAUCAUAGCUUCAUUCAUUCAAUCCUUACACGCUUACAAGAUGUUUAUUCAACUUCUUGGAUUGGUCUGCAUUUAAGGGUUACAAAAUUCCAAAAAUAAAAGGUUCAAGGGGGUAAUAGAACCCGAUAUACAACAAGUGUAUAGUUUAGUAAAACGACAAAUUAUGGGAGGGCCUUUUACCAUUUUCUCAACAAAAAUACUACCUAGUCUCCACUGCAACUUGUAUCAAACUUUUCUCUAUGAACACCAAAUAAAAUAAGCUGUCAAGUCCUGUUUCUAUGAAAAUUUUGGCAAGGGAUAGUGUAGUAUACAAUCAUACCCAUGCUAAAAUUGCAUGUUACAGUAUCAAAUAACCACAAGGUUUUUGCAGUAAUUGCUCUACAUUGGACGAGGACAAGAUGGAAUUUCAGCACUAAUUUAAUAACACCAAUAUUAGCACGAGCAAAAUAUGUUGCUUAAAACUAAAGUUACCUAUUUCAAAAAUAAAAUAAAAUACAUUGCUUAAAAUUCGAAGCAUGAAAACAAAACAAAUACACAGGUUUAGUGUUCUCUUUCUUUUCAAAUCAAUUCCUCCUUUUCCUCUUGCAAUUAGUUGGUUUUGCUUGAGGAUCCUAUAUAAGAUGUACUAACAUGUAAGCAAUAAAAAUGCUAAGCAGCUACUCAGAUUAUAUGAUUACGUUUCAUUUUGAUCGAACUUCACAAGCCAGAUUAAUUGCAGCAUAGCAUCACAAAACAUCAAAUCUAACACGUGACACAGCAAUAGACAAUUUCAAACAUCGCCAGCUAAAUUCAUUCAGUCAGAAAAUGAAAACGAAUAGAUAAUAUGGAUAGACGAAUAAAACAAACAAACAAAAAAGGAUAGAAAUGAGAAGUUACAUGGAAGAACUCGAGCUGGUCCUCAAGGUGUUCAAGUGCGGUCCGGAUAGCAUUGAGACUCUUAGCCUCAUGAACAGCGGAUUCAUCCUCAUCAACAGGAAACUCCUUAACGAAAACGUAACCAUGCUUUACCUGAUUUCCAUUGUUAUCAUUUCUCUUGUUAGAACGGUGACCGUAAAAGUCAUCGGACUUAGAGCGAGAUUUGACGGAAUUGAGGAAUUGAGCUCGAGAAACAGAGUGAAUAGCAUCGCUAAGUUUAUCAUGUAAAUCCCAUAUUUUCUCGAGAACAGCUUCGAUUUCAUACACCUCCAUUUCCCAUUUCAUGGAGGAAACCACAGUCUGGAGGGAAAAGUAUAUUGAAAGAGAGAGAAAGAGAGUAUUCUAGCUAGGGUUUCUACAUUUGUGUAUAUAUAUAUUUUCCCUCUUCUUCUUUAUUUGGAUUUAUUUAGCGCUUCUUUCGCACUACUACCAACGCAUAUUUUACAGCGUGGAAACGUGAGGCUCACUAGUCAGGUGUAUUUUCAUCAUCAUUAUUUCUGUUCAGUUCUGGGUGGUGGUCCCCACAAGGAACAGUUUAAUUUUAAAAAUUUUUUUAUUUACGUCACAUUUUAAGACGGGUCUAUUCAAAUAUGUUACUUAUAAUUCAAAAAAGUACAUUUACAAUUCGAUCUAAGACGUGCAAAUUUGAAUACGAUACUAUGUUAGGAUCAGAUGUACAAGUAUGAAUUCAGAUAUCAUGAUAACAUUUAAUAAUUAAUUAAUUAAAAUUAUUUAUCUUUUGGGCAUUUAAAUAUAUAAAAAUUGUUUUUAUUUAAAAAUAAUAAAUUUUAAUAAAAUGUUAAGAUACUAUAAUGUAUUAUAUAUCAAUUUCUCUGAUGAAAUUACAAUUGAUAUGUCGUAUUUAUAUCAACAAAAAAAAAUUAGAGAGUUAUUUAGGGAAUGUUUUAUAUAUAGACUAGUUGUGAUGAUGGUGGUUGUGAAUAUUGUUUAAGGAUGAUAUUGUGGUGUAGAUAGUAGUUACUAGUAAUGGCGAUUGGUGAUUAUUUAUAAUAACGAUGAAUAAUGUGGAUGAUAUAUAAUGCGGUAAUUGAUAGUGAGGGUUUAUAAUGGGUGAUAAUAAUUGUAAAUCAAAUAAAUUGGUGGUUAGUGAUAAUAAUAAUAAAUUAAUGAUAAUGAUGAUUAUAUUAUAGUUAGUGAUGAUGGGUGAUAGUAUAUAGUUGAUAACAAUGAACCACAAUAAUGGUACUUGCUAUUGGUGAACAAUGAAGAUAGUUGUGAUUAGAUAAAUUUCCUUUUUUAUAAAGAUAAAGUUUUUCAAUAGCCAUCUUACAUAGUUUAAUCAUCUAAAACACGAAUUCAUUAAAAGAAAGAUGUAAUUAGUAGUAGUUAAGAUUCAGACAUCAAUGAGACUUGAGAUAAAAUUAGGUAUAUUUUAAAUUGUAGGUGGAAGUUCACUUAAGGCUUUUCUAGGUAUAAUAUUUACUCGAGUUUUCUUUUCAGAAAUACUAUAAUAAUCAAUAAAGUCACAUAAUGCAUUAAUUAAGUGUGUUAUAUAAGUCCUUAAAUAUCGCUUCAAUACUUGAAGACUUUUUAUAAAUAUAUAUAACUAACAAAAUAUUAGGCUCGAUUCUUUUUUUUUCUAGGGAUAAGAUCUAAUUUCUAAAUAUGUUAUUUUAUAGAGUUAAAGUUUAGUUACUCGAUAGUUUAUUCGUCCAAUCUAUUUUAUAUUGAUUAUUUAACAAAAAUAAAUAUUUUUUAUUUGUUUUAAACAAUAUAACCAUGAAAUUGUCAAACAUCUCAAGUUAAUAUAUGUAAUUUUAUUUUGAAUAUGUAAAGAUAUUUACUUUUAAUAUCUAGGAUAUCUGCAAUUUGUAUAAAAAUGAAAAAGGAAUUAUAUUUAUCUUUAAUAAAUAUUUAUUUAAAUAUUGAUCCUAUUUUUUAGAAGUUGCCUUUUUUCAUGUCCAAUUUGUUAGCGUGAUAAGUCUUGAAAUUAGAGAACUUAAAUCUUAAUUUUUUAGAAGGUAUAUUUUUCAAAUCUAUUUUGUUUGUAGUUUAGGUCUUGAACAUAAUUUAUUAGAAGGUACAUUUUUUAAAUCUAUUUUGUUAGUAGUUUAGGUCUUGAGCCUAAUUUAUUAGAAGGUACAUGUUUCAAAUCUAUAUUUUUAUAGUAUUAUAGGUUUGUUUGUAGUUUAGGUCUUGAACAUAAUUUAUUAUAUAUUCCAAGUCUUUUCUAUUAGUAUUUAGUAGUUUAGAUCUUGAAAUUACAAAAUUUAAAUUUUACUAUUUUAGAAGGGACUUUCCAAAUCUAUUUUAUUAGUUAUUAUAUAUAAGUAGAUCUUAAAAUUACAAGACAUAAAAUUACCUAAUCUUUUUAAAAGGGCAUUUCAAGCCAAUUCUGUUAAUAUGGUAUUGGUUUAAAGUUUAUGGUUAUGCUUUAGGCACAGUUUGUUAAGUUUGAAAUUUAUUGUUAGUUAAUGAUUAACAACCCUUAACUAAUACUACUAACAAUUAAUUUUUCAUCCUAAAACCUAUUAUAACAAUCUUUUUAGCUACUUAAUUUUUUAAACUAAGUUAACAUUACGAAAAAAAACUAUUUUAACACAUUAACAUUAUGAAAUUAGCUAAACAACAAUUUCAUAAUUAGAUAAAUAAUAAACUAAUAACAAACAAUUAUCAUUUAUUAAUGAACACCAAGUAUCUAAGUGAUUUUAAGGAUUUUUAUAGCACACUAAAUUAGUGUGUUCUGUGAUUUCAUCAAUCAAUUAAGGUGUGGUUCGAUCAUAAAAAUUAUUUAGCAUACUAAUUCAAUGCGUUAUAGAUAAAAAAAAAUUGAAAAAUUUCAGUAUAUCCCCUCCAAAUUAAGAAGAAUGUGCUGAUUAACAUCUUGUGCAACCUUAAUUUUUUUGUAAGUUCACCUCGAUUCCUUCUUAAUUUUUCAGUACACAAAACCAACAAUAUAGCUUCUCGAAUCUUUGAGAAAACUACUGGUGAUUUCAAAUAAUCAAUAUGCAUAAUGGACAUGCUUUAUGUCCGCAAUCUAUUCUAAAAAUUUGUCAAUUUGUCUAACUUCUCAAAUUUUAUUUGUAUUACAUAAACUGAAAUAUAAAAAAUAACAUAUAUUGAAUUCGAAUGAACACAAACUUUUAUAUCUAAUGUGUUUAUAUAUAUAUGUUAUGAUCAGCUUAGAUAUACAGAGACGUAAUAAUAAAUUAUAACGUACUGUAGAAUCGAGCAAAAUUCAAAUUGAAUUUGCAUUGAUAUGAUUAUAAAAUGAUGCUUUAUGCUCAUAGCGCCCACCUACAUGCAAUUAUUUUUAUCUUCUACGUGUAUGAUUAAAUUUUUAGAAAGUUAAUUAUGUGUGUUUAUCUUAGAGAGUUGAGAUUUUUAAUUAGGUUAAUGAGGCGAGAAUAAAUAUUUUUCAAUAGUAGCCAAAGUAAUUUAAUUUUCAGAAAGUUCAAAAUAAUAGUUUUUCUUAAAAUAUGUACUAUUUGGGUGCAUUAGAAAGUAUCUCAGAUAUAUUAUAACAUAAAUCAGAAAUAUAAUAUGUAAUUCGGAUACAUUAUAAAAUAAAUCGUAUACAUAAAAUGUAGCUCGAUACAUUAAAUAAUAGUUUGGAUACAUUAAUAUAUAUGUAGCUCGGAUACAUUACAUACAUUAUGAGAGAAAUAAGAGAUUUAGAAAUAUAGAAAAUAAAAGAAAUAUAAGACGUAUAUUUGAGUAAUUUUUUCAAAAAAAAAAAAUUCACCUAGAUGCGUGACUAAUACUUUUUUUAGUACCAGUUAAUUAUAUUUGAUUUUUCUACCAACGAAUCAGAGUGGCGCAGCGGAAGCGUGGUGGGCCCAUAACCCACAGGUCCCAGGAUCGAAACCUGGCUCUGAUAAAUGAGAAGGCUUCCGGCGUUGCAAUUUUUUUUGGAUCCAAAUUUGUAUCCUUUUACGAUGUCGUUUAGUAGUUGCCGAAAAAAAAACAGAUGAGAUAUUACUAUAACGAGAAGAUGGAAACUAAACCCUAGCCUCAGAAACUUCAAAAUUCCACAAAAUCUCGCGAUAAAUCAAACAGAUCUCUCUCUCUCUCUCUUUCUGCAACUUCCGUCUUACCGUUGAUAAUUCGUUUCUCCAUGUAAGUUUUCCCUCUUAUUUCUCUCUCUCUAUUUCUGUUUUCCCUCUCUUUAGAUUUCUGUUUCGCUGUUCAAAAAAUGGUAGAAAUCGACACUGUACACUAUAGCGCUUCCACAUUUCAGCUUGCGAGUUCAUCAUCAAUGGUGACUACAAAUUAUUGUUUCAUCUUUUACCUGGAAAUUGAACUACUACCGGAUGAAGUUUUAAUGGUGAUUGUUCAGAAAUUAAAAUUGAUUCAGUUUACUAAUUUAUGCUGUAAUUUUUAACCGAAAAGCUGUUAUUGCUUAGGUUUGUGUAGUAUCAGUCCACUGCGAAGAGAAUCCCUCCAUAACAUAACUAGUAAGUCACUGAACUUCCUUUUGUUAUUUCGAUUUGAAAAAAACUCUUUAGUUAAUUUGGAGUGAGCUUCGUGAGUUAUUACUCCAGUUCAUUUGGGACUUAUUUUAUGGCUUUCACGGUUCCUGAUUAUUCUUUUUGUUACAAUGUUGUACCUGACUUAUUUUAUCGGUCUGUAUUCUCUUUUGUUUGUCCCGACUUGGGAAGGGAAUGAAGCAUGAUUACAAACUUCAGAUAAGCUCAGUAAUAAAAUUGAUUAGUAUGAUGAAAUCUGCAAAAAGCAUAAUCAUUAACUCUAGAUUGCUGUUUGGAUAAAUAUGUUGCUUGCAUCAAGUUUUUAGCUCUAUUCAUUGAUCUUCUAAUGGUAGUUAAGUCUAAAUAGAACCUGGUUUUAAUUUUAGUAUUUUGAAUGGACAACACUUUAGCUUCCUUCUUUCUUUUUACAAGGAUUCAAAUUGAUUUAUGGAGUUUUAAUUUGCUCGUGCUGUUUUUCCAAUUUAAAUGCUGGCAGUUUUGAUACAAUGACGAUCAUUUAUAGUUGAGGUUUUCAAAAGUAUCUUGGUAUAUGAUUGAAGAAGCCUAUCCGUACACAUCACUUUUAGCUUUGCUAGUUAAUCGAGAUACACUAUUGUUGCAUGAGUUGAAGAUGAUCGGCAUAUUAGGUAGCAUUUGUUUGGGGCUUAUCAUUGAAACCUAAGAUAAUAUAUACCUACCUUAGUCGCAUAUUGACACUUGAUCAUAUCAUUGUAUUAAUUUUAAAUCAUUAAAGAGAUUUCCUGAAUGACUGUUAUGUUUCAUCAUUGUGCACUGUGAUAUAGAAUCUUCUUUAUCCUAAGAGGGGAAAGAAAACAAAAAGAAUAAAGAAAAGCCCAUCUUGGCUGAUUCAGAAAUUUAUUUUUUGAGCAGAUAGUCAGACAAUUUUCUAACAGAUUUUUUACCGACAGUGGUUCGAGAAAAAGAUGUCUGUUGGGAAUAUGCUGAGAAGUUAGACGGGAAUAAAGUGAGGUGUAAAUUCUGUCUUAGAAUUCUUAAUGGUGGCAUUAGUAGGUUAAAACACCACUUAUCCAGACUUCCCAGUAAAGGUGUGAAUCCAUGUACUAAGGUCAGGGAUGAUGUUACUGACAGGGUAAGGGAUAUAAUAGGAUCAAAGGAACCUCCUAGUACUAAAAAACAUAAGCUCAUUGAGACAAAAGCUCUUGCAAAUAUCUCUCCGGAAAAACCGCUUUUAUCGGUGGAGCCAAUAACUCCAAUUGCAAGAAUUUUUCCACCAAUUGGGCAGGCUAUUUCUUCAUCUGGAAAUAACCAAGAAAAUGCUGAGAGGAGUAUUGCAUUGUUCUUUUUUGAGAACAAAAUUGACUUUGGUGUAGCAAGAUCUUCCUCUUACCAUCAAAUGAUUGAGGCAGUAGGGAAGUGUGGCAGUGGGUUUAUAGGUCCUUCUCCUGAAACCCUGAAAGCGACAUGGUUGGAGAGGAUCAAGUCUGAAGUAAGUUUACAGUCAAAAGAUGUUGAGAAAGAGUGGGCUAUGACAGGUUGCACUUUGAUUGCAGAAACAUGGACGGACAACAAAAUGAAAGCGUUGAUCAACUUCUUGGUUUCAUCGCCCUCCAGGACUUUUUUCUACAAAUCAGUAGACGCAUCUUCAUAUUUUAAGAAUCUGAAAUGCCUCUCCGAAUUGUUUGAUUCAAUCAUACAAGAUUUUGGACCAGAGAAUGUUGUACAGGUAAUUGUGGAUAAUACACUUCACUGCACUGGUAUAGUGAACCAUAUUUUGCAGAACUAUGGGAAUGUUUUUGUGUCCCCUUGUGCUUCACAGUGUAUAAAUGCAAUCUUAGACGAGUUUUCAAAAUUAGAUUGGGUAAAUAGAUGCAUUUUACAGGCACAAUCACUCUCAAAAUUUAUAUACAACAAUUCCCCAUUGCUUGAUCUCAUGAAAAAGUUCACUGGAGGACAAGAGAUCAUUAAGACUGGUAUCACAAAGUCUGUAUCAAACUUUCUCUCCUUGCAAUGUCUAUUGAAGCAUAGGUCAAGAUUGAAAGUUAUUUUUAACAGUCCAGAGCUUGCUGCCAAUUCUGCUUAUACAAACAAAUCGCAAAGUGUUAAUUGUAUCACAAUUCUGGAUGACAAUGACUUUUGGAGGACAGCUGAAGAGUGUGUUGCUGUUUCUGAACCCUUUCUCAAAGUUAUGAGAGAAGUUUCUGGAGGAAAGCCAGCUGUGGGCACUAUAUAUGAACUACUGACCAGAGCAAAGGAAUCUAUAAGGACAUACUAUAUUAUGGAUGAAAUAAAGUGCAAGACAUUUUUAGAUAUAGUGGAUAAGAACUGGAAGAACAACCUCCACUCUCCUCUUCAUUCGGCAGCUGCCUUUUUGAAUCCUGGCAUCCAAUAUAACCCAGAAGUCAAGUUUCUUGGGUCAAUAAAAGAAGAUUUUUUCAGAGUGCUGGAGAAGCUGCUACCAACUCCCGAACUGAGGCGAGAUAUCACUACUCAAAUCCUUUUAUAUACACGGGCAUCUGGGAUGUUUGGUUGUAAUCUGGCGAAGGAAGCAAUUGAUACUGUUCCUCCAGGUAUA